UUAGGACUACUGCCUUCUUUUUCAACAGAUGAUGGACUACCAGGAGAACUUUUCUUGACCUAUUAGUAAACUAUGGUGGACUGAGAGACAGCAGCUGGCUCCAAGUUAACCAGGAAGCAGUGGCUGAUGAGGUCAACUGUUCAAAUCUAUGUUCUACAAAAGAUGGGUCCAUCUGUUGACAUAUGAAGAAAAAUGUAUGUAUAAAUGGUUCAUAGGUUGAAAUGAGAUAAUCUGAAUGAAGGUGAGCUGAUCUUGUAGAGUUGAUAAAUACAUGUAGGGAAACGUAAAUUUAACUAUAAAUAAAAUAGCUAAAAUGUUGUGACAAGGUAUGGAUCCAUGUCAUCUAGACUGUUGUUGGUGUAUAUAAAAAUAGAAAUUCAGUGAUAGCUGUUACUGUUCAGCACAUUGUGAUAAAAAAUGAGCAGGGAUGAGUUUGGGCAUAAUUGUGGAACAUUCUCAUUGAAAACCUGUUUGGUAACAUGAAAUAUACAUAGGAUAGGGCAGAUAGGAACAUGGAAAACAAAGAAAAAAUAACUGGAUCAUUCAGAAAUCCAAAAAUUAAUGAAAAUAAUAAAUUUGUAUAUUUUUAAAUAUUUGCUUGGAAAAUGAUGUUUCAAAUUUAUUGUUUAAGCAUGUGUAUUUGUGCAUGUGUAAGUAUACAUACACACUCACAAUUUAAUUGAAAAGCUUAAUUGAUUUGUUUUUAUAUGAUUAAAGACCAAUACUGUUAAUAAAGGAUACAAGAAUGACAAGAGGUUCUGAAUGUGGGAUAUACAACAACUUGGAACUAUCAAGAAAAUCUUAUGCAACCUUAGAAGGAAAAAUUUAAAAAAAAAAAAAAAGAGAGAGAAGACUGAAUUACUGUAGAAAAAUAAAGCAUAAGACUAUGAAUCUUUGUAAUAGUAAUGGAAAAUCAAUUGAUCUUCCAACAGAAUGAAUGGAAAAUAGACAUAAUAAAAGUGCAUGUGAAAGUUGUUUGGAACAGAGUGAAAAAAAGUAUGCUACAAAUGCUUCAGAAAUGUAUGGAGUAUGAAAAAAGGGAGAGUAUGAAAAAAGAUGCUUGGUAGAAUAAUGAAGUGAAAGCUGCAAGAUAGGUGCAUAUAGGAAGAUGAUUGCUAAAAAAUUUAGGAAAUAUGUUGUAUUAAGAGAAAUAGGUAGUCAGAAAAAUAUAUAUUUAAAGAAGAGGUAAAAUUAAAAUCAAAAUAAGCAGAAAUAAUGCAGAAUGAUUUUGCUGGAAACAUUUUUAAUAAGUGAAAAACACUAAACAAGAUCCUCCAGCAGAAUGAAAACUAUUAAAAAUAAAAGUAUUGAAAUUAUUUGGGAUAAUAGUGGAAUAUAAGAAUGUGUUUCUGCCCUUUUUGUUGGGUGGGGAUAAACAAGCAAAACAUUGUGUUGAUGGAGUUGAUGAGAUUCUUAGAAAAGGAGAACAAAAGUACUGCAUGAAAAAGUCAGAGCAACAGCAAAAAGGUACAGAGAAAUAUAUACUGAAAGAAAUAAAUGUUAACUAGAUUUUUUUACACAUUGUGCCCUAAUUUGCUUGGCUAUUUCUUAUGCCUCCAGAAAAUGUAUCCACAUCAAUGUCACUACACAUCAAUGUCACUACAAUUAUUUAUAUACCAAAUAAUUAAACCACUAAAUUCUGAGGCACUUGUUGCCAUGUAGAAUCAAUCUGGUGUAGCAGUGAGCCAAUUUGCUAAUUUGGUUGGUUAAAGGCAUCAGGCUAGAAACCACGAGACUGAAUUCUAGUCUUUCCUCAGAUGCAAAGCCAGCUGAGUGAUUUUAGCCAGUCACUCUUUGUCAACCCUAAAAGGCAACAGCAAAUAAUUUCUAAAAAAUGAUGCCAAGAAAUCAUCAUGGAUAUGUCCAAGCACUGUGAUAUUACCUUGAUUCAAAAGGUAAAUUUAGCUGUAAUAAUGGAAUUCUUUUUUGUGUUGUUAUAGACAAGAUCUAUAUUUGCAUCAGCAUCACAGAUAAAUAAAAGAGAUGCACCUUGGAAUGACACAGGAACUAGAAGAAUUCAUUCCUUCAUUUGAUUCAUCCACUUGUGUCCUCAGCGUAGGCAUUUCACAGAAAGUUUUACCUGUAUCAAAGAAAUAUCGGAUCAUCCGACUCACUCGCAAGCGGCGUCCCACACGGCAUUGGUUGCCUAGC
Long non-coding RNA from Crotalus tigris (Tiger rattlesnake), 2151 nucleotides. RefSeq lists it as uncharacterized. The record is from RefSeq and is a predicted model, not a curated record. Lineage: Eukaryota; Metazoa; Chordata; Lepidosauria; Squamata; Viperidae. The transcript has 4 exons.